Long non-coding RNA from Dromaius novaehollandiae (emu), 1281 nucleotides. RefSeq lists it as uncharacterized. The record is from RefSeq and is a predicted model, not a curated record. Lineage: Eukaryota; Metazoa; Chordata; Aves; Casuariiformes; Dromaiidae. The transcript has 3 exons.
CGCCCGGGGGCGGGGCGGGGCGUGACGACACUUCCUGGGCCACCGCCCGGGCCGCGCCGCGGCGAGGCGGCGGCGGCGGUUGUUGUCGCGCUGCCACCCGCGGCGGGCGGUUCGCGGCUUCCGCAGCCUAAUGCUGUGGGUAGCGGUGCAGGUGCGCUGCUGGGGGAUCGCUCUUACUAAAGUGAGGGUUUGAUUUGGUUGAGCUCAGGAAUAUACAUACAUACAUAUAUAUAUAUAAAAUAUAUUUUUAUAUAUAUAUAUAUGUAUAUUUAAGACUGUAUAGUGUUUAAUCAGCAUGGGUUAAGAGCCGAACUAUGUAUUUGUAUGUGUAUGUGCCCAAAUCCAGCAACAGUGCAGUUUGUGUACUUUGGCACGCUGCCAACUGUACAUUGACCAACUGCCCAUCUAAGCAUGAAUGUAUGCUUCUGCGAAAUCCGUCCUUGCGUUUCGCGGAGGCAAACUCUGAUUAACAGCAAGCAGGAGUGUUGGCUGCAUAAAGACUGAAUGCUACUAAGAAAAAUCCAAAAUGCGGGGUGCAGCAAGUUCCUCCGGGCGCACUCAGACCCAGCUGGGUCUGUACACGGCCUCUGGAUCCUCCUGCUCUGCAGUCACAUGAGGACUCGCUGGGAGUGGACCCAGACAAGCCAGGGACAGCAUCCUAGAGGACUUCACACAGGACACAUUCUCCUUCGCCCAGGUGCUCCAGGAGAGCAGGGAUCCCGGUGCCAGAGCAGCCCCAAAGGCUGGUGACUGCGGUGCUCUCCUUGGAGCACAACAUGUCUGUCCUCCUCAGGCAAAAGCAAUGGAGCUGAAGGGCCAGCUCUGGGAACCCCAGCUGAGCUGCAUCCCUCUGGCAAAGGACGGAGAAACCCUUAAUCUGCACAUCCUGCUCAGCUCUAGGAGACAGAGGGCAAGCGCUCAGCGUUGUGAAGACCAGAGUCUUUCUGGGCAUGCUCUGAAGCCACGUUUUGGGGCUCCGGAAAACCAUACUGCCAAAAACUGAUGUGUCUAUGGUUUUCAGUUGCCCUUGGGAUUAGGAGUUUCGCUCAUCACAGCUGUAGAUUUCAAUGUCUGAAUCCUUUUAUGGUUCUAGUAGCAGCUACCAUAGGACUUGGAUAAAGGGAUAAGAAGCCUUAAUCUGUCACUGAGAUACGGCACUUGAAAAGAAGUCCUCUGCAACCUUUGGUAUGUAACAUAAUGGUAAAGAGACUGUAUUGCUAUCUGCAUCAUGACCUAUCAUGCACACGUAUCAUGCCUUAAUAAAGCUCAUUUUAAAAAUGA